GCCACGAUUCCACUCCACUACUCUUCACAACAAACUCCUCCUGACCCCGAGCAGUCCACUGCCAGACGGUUACAAACGUCGCUAUCAAUCCGUUGCUCCCUCCGCCUAUAAAAAGGGGGGGGCCCAGAUACGUUAUUCUCUAAGCUCUACUUUCUAUCUCAAAAUUCUGCUAAAAUUUUUGUUCGAGCACUCCAUUCUUGUUGAGGUAGAGAACUGACUUGAGCGUCGGAGGAUCUUG
This 238-nucleotide long non-coding RNA is filed under the name Elaeis guineensis (African oil palm). Its description in RNAcentral is "long non-coding RNA (EGUI_LNC077535)". Lineage: Eukaryota; Viridiplantae; Streptophyta; Magnoliopsida; Arecales; Arecaceae. The record is from RNAcentral.